This 628-nucleotide long non-coding RNA is filed under the name Mytilus galloprovincialis (Mediterranean mussel). The record is from RNAcentral. Lineage: Eukaryota; Metazoa; Mollusca; Bivalvia; Mytilida; Mytilidae.
ACAUCCUGAUAGCACAAAUGUAUGUUAGAUUCGUCUUUUGAAUAUGUUGAUAUGAUUUUGAUGAUAUAGUUGAAAUUAGCGUCUUACAAAUAGAAUUCCAUAUUUUGUACACACAAAAAGGACUUACGAUCUUUUUUAAUUUCACUGUUUUUGGGAGACGUGGUAUGAAUGGGUUGAUAUGAUACUUCAAAUUCAAGUGUUAAAUGUUGCUUUCAGUAAAUACAUGUUGUCAUUGAUACGGUUGGGUUUGUUAAGUAAUUUUGUACAAACGAAAAAGGAACACAAAAAAAUAUUGAAUAUCUUUAUUUAUAUUUUAUUGUGUAUUGAUUUAUGUUUGUAGGUGUAAUUGUGUAUUUGUUCAUUUGUUUUUAAUAGGCAGUUAUUAUUUUCUAUAAUAUAUUAUUGUGUGCAUUAUCGGGAAACAUUUUCUUUUUUCAGUAUCAACAGAAUAUGUACCGUGUACCGGAACCUCGAACAAAAUACACACCACCUCCUAGACAGUGCCCGGGGUAGCCAGUAAAGAACAGAUUUUUUUUUAUUUUACGCACAUUUAUAUAAUAACAAUAGUUUUAUCUUUCGAUGGAUUUAUAUUAUUGCUGAAGAUUCUGUUUCGAAUUGUAAUAAAAAG